CUAUUGCAAUGUGACUCCCGAAGAGAGUGAUCAGCUGCUCCUCGUAAUUCGCUAUGUUUCGUUUCAUGAUGUCCAUGCAGGGGCCUAAUAUCCUCUCAAACGCCUGCACGUCCAUCGCUGUGGAACACAAGUGAUCCUGACGUGUCCUGACUCUACGAUGUAGAAACAAUCUGCCAAAUCACCCUGUGAAAACAAGAAGAAAGAGUCAUUCAACUUUGGACUAUUAUGGGAGAAAGAACGUCAUACGGGCUUCAAAACAAUAUGAGGCGAGAGAGAUGAGAGGAUCGGCUGCUCUCCUCUCCCACACGCCCCCACUAUUCCUACUAUAAAUACCAGCGCAGAGAUGACAAGACCAGGAACUCCACCGUCUAGAUCGAUACUCCACACGCAGACGAGCGAGACCUGAAGUUUCAGGGCCAGGAACCCUACAGGAACCGUCUAGACUGAUCUAGCUCACAGCUCUAGAUUGUUUACAUCAAUCCAGGGCCUAUUACACAACGUUUGGUCCUUAAUUUCAAGUAUUCAGCUCAUCUGAUCUGCUAAAAAAAUCACAGAAAUAGAGGUCAAACAUUUUGUGUUUUGUCUACAUUUCUCUAUACUGUACAGAAUUCACUAUCAUUCAAAAUAUUGAAUAUUUUUUUUAAUGUUUCUGAAAGAAGACUCUUAUGCUCACCGGGGCUCCAUUUAUUUGACCAAAUAUACAGUAAAAACAGCAAUAUUGUGAAUUUUUUUUUUAAAUUUAAAAUAACUUUCUUUUUUGAAUAUAUGUUAAAAUGUAAUUUAUUUCUGUGAUCAAAGCUGAAUUUUCAGCAUCAUUACUCCAGUCGUCAGUGUCACACGAUCCUUCAGAAAUCAUUUUUAUAUGCUUAUUUGCUGCUCAAGAAACGUUUUUGAUGAUUAUCAAUGCUGAAAACAGUUCAUAUUUUUGUGGAAACCAUGAUACAUUUUUUUCAGGAUUCUUUGAUGAACAGAAAUCUUUUGUAACAUUAUGUCUUCACUACCACUUUUUAUCAAUUUAAUGCAUCCUUUCCAAAUGAAAGUAUUAAAAAUACCUUACUGAGACCCUGAACUUUUAGUGUAAGUCUACAUUUUAUGUCAUUCUUGAUCACAUCUUGUCUGAUCUGAUCUGUUUUCAGUCACAGAGUUCAAACCUGACAUGAAAUAAACCAGAUGGGGAACUACGUUUAACACUGAGUUUUUAUAGAAGCCUUUUUCCAUUACAAUAAAGUGCCUGACAGAUAUAUGUAGGGACGAUUUAUCUAUCUAUCUACAGAAUCACAUCAAUAUAAGGACUGAAUAUGCUCCUCUUCCUGACACUAUAAACUCAUCUCUUUUUAAUUGACCACCAAACUUCUACUUUUCUCCAUUACAAUCAUACUUCAUUUCCUAUUUCAGUCCGGUCUGUCAGCACAACACAUUAAAAUCCCUCUAACCGUCCUCACUUGUGGUUUAUAGCGAUCCACGAGAGACAGAACUUCACAGCAUCUAAAACACUUUAUUUCUGCAAACAAAGCUGAUCUUCCAUUAGCCAAUUAAACCAUUAGCUCUCUCAUUCACUCAGUGAGAGCAGUAAAGGAGUAAAUGAUAUGUUAACAAGACAAAAGGAACUCCGACCACAAAUGCAAGGUCAUUAACCAGAACUGGAUGUUCUGUAAGAUGGGAAUUUUAAGUAAACUCUGUAUACGUUAAAGAAAUAGUUCACCCAAAAAUGAAAAUUUGCUG
This is a long non-coding RNA of Onychostoma macrolepis, 1722 nucleotides long. RefSeq lists it as uncharacterized. NCBI's taxonomy places the organism in Eukaryota, Metazoa, Chordata, Actinopteri, Cypriniformes, Cyprinidae. The transcript has 5 exons. The record is from RefSeq and is a predicted model, not a curated record.